UGAGGAAUAUUGCGCAAUGGGGGCAACCCUGACGCAGCAACGCCGCGUGAGUGAGGAAGGUUUUCGGGUCGUAAAGCUCUGUCAGAUGGAAAGAAAUGCAUGGGGGUUAAUAGCCUUCAUGCUUGACGGUACCAUCAGAGGAAGCACCGGCUAACUCCGUGCCAGCAGCCGCGGUAAUACGGGGGGUGCAAGCGUUGUUCGGAAUCAUUGGGCGUAAAGAGCGUGUAGGCGGCUUGAUAAGUCAGAUGUGAAAGCCCUGGGCUCAACCUGGGAAGUGCAUUUGAAACUGUCAUGCUUGAGCAGGGGAGAGGGAAGUGGAAUUCCUGGUGUAGAGGUGAAAUUCGUAGAUAUCAGGAGGAACACCAGUGGCGAAAGCGGCCUCCUGGACCAUUCCUGACACUCAGACGCGAAAGCUAGGGUAGCAAACG
This 428-nucleotide ribosomal RNA is filed under the name uncultured prokaryote. RNAcentral describes it as "bacterial SSU rRNA". It matches the Rfam family "Bacterial small subunit ribosomal RNA", at positions 355 to 774 of the family's 1533-position model. The record is from RNAcentral.